GUGGGGAAUAUUGGACAAUGGGCGAAAGCCUGAUCCAGCCAUGCCGCGUGAGUGAUGAAGGCCUUAGGGUUGUAAAGCUCUUUCAGUAGGGAAGAUAAUGACGGUACCUACAGAAGAAGCCCCGGCUAACUUCGUGCCAGCAGCCGCGGUAAUACGAAGGGGGCUAGCGUUGUUCGGAUUUACUGGGCGUAAAGCGCACGUAGGCGGAUUGGUCAGUUAGGGGUGAAAUCCCAGAGCUCAACUCUGGAACUGCCCUUAAUACUGCCAAUCUAGAGUCCGGAAGAGGUGAGUGGAACUCCUAGUGUAGAGGUGGAAUUCGUAGAUAUUAGGAAGAACACCAGUGGCGAAGGCGGCUCACUGGUCCGGUACUGACGCUGAGGUGCGAAAGCGUGGGGAGCAAACAGGAUUAGAAACCCCGGUAGUCC
Molecule: ribosomal RNA, 425 nt
Filed under: uncultured bacterium
Lineage: Bacteria
Description: partial 16S ribosomal RNA
Rfam family: Bacterial small subunit ribosomal RNA
Source: RNAcentral